UGCUGAUUGAAGCUGCUGCCGCCCUGUCUGACGUAGUUUUUGCUUGCUCAUCUGAGUAGUCAGACUGCUGCCUGCAGUUUGAGCAGUCCGUGCAUGCCCAUGAGCUGGCAAUGUGUGAGGUUGAGGCAUUGGGGUCAUUGAGGUGGGGGAUGUCAAAGGAGAAACUGAUACUGGCAGAGAAGAUUGUGAUGUGGUCUUCGGACUGUUUUGUAAAGAAGAUGAAAUAGGUAGUUGGGGCUGUGAAUGGGAAAAUUGUUGCUGUUGCAACCGUCGCUGUUGCAGGUGCCUCUCUUUAGCUAAUCGAAUUGCAUAAGCUUGUUGCUGAGAGUUGGUGGCAUGAUUAGCCCCUUGAAGAUGAGGGUGAUGAGGGCUAAGCAUAAGUGGCUGCUGUGAAGACAUGGGAUGUGAUUGCUGAUGAUGAAGUGGAUAUGGAUUAACGGGAGAGGCAGACUGGUUGGGAAAAG
RNAcentral lists this unclassified non-coding RNA (464 nucleotides) under Hevea brasiliensis (rubber tree). The record is from RNAcentral. Lineage: Eukaryota; Viridiplantae; Streptophyta; Magnoliopsida; Malpighiales; Euphorbiaceae.